Raphanus sativus (radish) is the source of this 805-nucleotide long non-coding RNA. RefSeq lists it as uncharacterized. The record is from RefSeq and is a predicted model, not a curated record. Lineage: Eukaryota; Viridiplantae; Streptophyta; Magnoliopsida; Brassicales; Brassicaceae. The transcript has 4 exons.
UUAGAAAAAGACUGCGCAUCAGUUUUUGGCUUUGUUGCAUGGGUUACAUAACCAGUGGUUCAAAACCAAGUCUUUACGAUAGAGACUGUAAACCAAAUUGCCAAAUCUAAGACACAAUGAACAAAAACUAACAUUAUUCCUUAUUUUUACCAUUUGCAGCUAAGCUCAGAAGCUAGAAAGCUACUAGUCGAGUCUUAUGUUGCUCUAUGCAGAGGUGACACACAGCUAGGAGGGAAACUGGUGAAACCGAUUCAUAUUCUUUUAGCUGUCAGACUUCUUCAGUUAUCAAAAGUGUUAAGUCAGGGGAUAUCGAUCUUCCAGAGUAUCAACAUGGACGACACAGAUGAAGUCGAGAAUCCUGGUAAUUGAGAAGAAGAUCAACGGAAGGGUGCAGCCGAGCCAGCUCCUGUUACUGACUUAAGCACCGUUUAUACUCUUCCUCUUACUCUGAGACACUUAAGAACCAUAACAAGCAUCAUGGUGUAUUAUCAACAGAUAAUGGAGCAGCAGCUCGGAAGCUGGUUAUUAGCGAGGAAGAAUAUGAUAAAAUCACACAGGCCUUAAGUCAUUUGCCUUAGACAACACAAAUAAACUGUUCUGAUGGAAUCAGCAGAACGAGAAAAAGAAAUACAGUUCGCAAGAGCAAGUCAAACUUGAUCAGAGCCAUUAUUGAGGUGAAUCCAAUCCAAAACAUUAACUGUAGGGAUAUAUUCCUCUAAUUUUACCACUUCAAGGGUAAAAAUUCACGAGGUAACUAUGAAGCAUUUUGCGUCAACUAAAAAGUAAAAACUAGUUUUAAUUAUGA